AAGUCGUAACAAGGUUUCCGUAGGUGAACCUGCGGAAGGAUCAUUAAUGAAGUAUUAUAUAUAUACUAUAUACGUUUGUGAAUGAGAAAAAGGAGAGAGAGAAUGAUGGAUAUGUGUAUAUGUGAGUGUAAUGGUGUAAUGGUAACGAGAGAUAUGAUGGAUUAUCAAUCUGUGUUAUCUCUCAUGAUGCAUUACUAUUAAUUACGCACAUGCAUAUAUAUAUAUUUAUUAACUCUCUCCUUUUUUAUAUAUAUUACACACUUGCAUGAAUUUUAAUGACUUACAAUAUAUAUAACCAACCAAUAUAUAUAUAACUUUUAACAGUGGAUCUCUUGGCUCCU
This 341-nucleotide unclassified non-coding RNA is filed under the name fungal sp. RNAcentral describes it as "partial internal transcribed spacer region". The stretch from base 1 to 46 matches the Rfam family "Eukaryotic small subunit ribosomal RNA", at positions 1786 to 1831 of the family's 1831-position model. Lineage: Eukaryota; Fungi. The record is from RNAcentral.